AUUGAACGCUGGCGGCAGGCCUAACACAUGCAAGUCGAGCGGAUGAAGGGAGCUUGCUCCUGGAUUCAGCGGCGGACGGGUGAGUAAUGCCUAGGAAUCUGCCUGGUAGUGGGGGAUAACGUCCGGAAACGGGCGCUAAUACCGCAUACGUCCUGAGGGAGAAAGUGGGGGAUCUUCGGACCUCACGCUAUCAGAUGAGCCUAGGUCGGAUUAGCUAGUUGGUGGGGUAAAGGCCUACCAAGGCGACGAUCCGUAACUGGUCUGAGAGGAUGAUCAGUCACACUGGAACUGAGACACGGUCCAGACUCCUACGGGAGGCAGCAGUGGGGAAUAUUGGACAAGGGGCGAAAGCCUGAUCCAGCCAUGCCGCGUGUGUGAAGAAGGACUUCGGAUUGUAAAGCACUUUAAGUUGGGAGGAAGGGCAGUAAGUUAAUACCUUGCUGUUUUGACGGUACCAACAGAAUAAGCACCGGCUAACUUCGUG
This 484-nucleotide ribosomal RNA is filed under the name uncultured bacterium. RNAcentral describes it as "partial 16S ribosomal RNA". It matches the Rfam family "Bacterial small subunit ribosomal RNA", at positions 30 to 507 of the family's 1533-position model. The record is from RNAcentral.